RNAcentral lists this ribosomal RNA (384 nucleotides) under uncultured bacterium. RNAcentral describes it as "bacterial SSU rRNA". It matches the Rfam family "Bacterial small subunit ribosomal RNA", at positions 47 to 427 of the family's 1533-position model. The record is from RNAcentral.
CCUAACACAUGCAAGUCGAACGGUAACAGGAAGAAGCUUGCUUCUUUGCUGACGAGUGGCGGACGGGUGAGUAAUGUCUGGGAAACUGCCUGAUGGAGGGGGAUAACUACUGGAAACGGUAGCUAAUACCGCAUAACGUCGCAAGACCAAAGAGGGGGACCUUCGGGCCUCUUGCCAUCGGAUGUGCCCAGAUGGGAUUAGCUAGUAGGUGGGGUAACGGCUCACCUAGGCGACGAUCCCUAGCUGGUCUGAGAGGAUGACCAGCCACACUGGAACUGAGACACGGUCCAGACUCCUACGGGAGGCAGCAGUGGGGAAUAUUGCACAAUGGGCGCAAGCCUGAUGCAGCCAUGCCGCGUGUAUGAAGAAGGCCUUCGGGUCGUA